GCGAAGGUGGCGGAAUUGGUAGACGCGCUAGCUUCAGGUGUUAGUGUCUACGGACUGGGGUCAAGUCCCCCCCGCACCA
This 79-nucleotide transfer RNA is filed under the name Shigella dysenteriae 1617. RNAcentral describes it as "tRNA-Leu". The record is from RNAcentral. Lineage: Bacteria; Pseudomonadati; Pseudomonadota; Gammaproteobacteria; Enterobacterales; Enterobacteriaceae.